GAUGAACGCUGGCGGCGUGCCUAACACAUGCAAGUCGAACGGACAGGCCAUGCUCUUGCUGCUUGCACGAUUGCCGCACGGGUGAGUAAAACACGAGUAUCAUGUCCCUGUAUUACGGAUAUCUUCAGGAAACUCGGGCUAUUAUCGGAUAUAAUCUCUUGCACCGCGUUGGGCAAUGGUAAGUUUCGGCGGUUGUGGAUGGUAUAGCUGCUUCUCCGCUUGUUGGUGGGGUUGGUGAUUACAAAGGUUACGACGGGUAGCCGGCCUGAGAGGGUGGCCGGCGACCUGGGGACUGAGAGACGGAGCAGACGGCUACGGGAGGCAGCAGUGGGGAAUAUUGCACAAUGGGCGGGAGCCUGUGGCAGCAACGCCGCGUGCGGGAUGACGGCCUUCGGGGUAUAAACCGCUGUCGCCUGUGACGAGGCGGGAGUGACGGUAAUGGGUAAAGAAGCACCGGCUAACUACGUG
RNAcentral lists this ribosomal RNA (468 nucleotides) under uncultured bacterium. RNAcentral's name for it is "partial 16S ribosomal RNA". It matches the Rfam family "Bacterial small subunit ribosomal RNA", at positions 28 to 507 of the family's 1533-position model. The record is from RNAcentral.